Long non-coding RNA from Leucoraja erinaceus (little skate), 2933 nucleotides. RefSeq lists it as uncharacterized. The transcript is spliced from 2 exons. The record is from RefSeq and is a predicted model, not a curated record. NCBI's taxonomy places the organism in Eukaryota, Metazoa, Chordata, Chondrichthyes, Rajiformes, Rajidae.
UGGGAGAGCCUAGGACUAGAGGUCAUAGCUUCAGAAUUAAAGGAUGUUCCUUUAGGAACGAGAUGAGGAGGAAUUUCUUCAGUCAGAGGGUGGUGAAUCUGUGGAAUUCUUUGUUCUGCAGAAGGCUGUGGAGGCCAAGUGAAUGGAUAUUUUUAAGGUAGAGAUAGUUUUAGAUUCUUGAUUAGUACGGGUGUCGGGGCUAUGGGGAGAAGGCAGGAGAAUGGGGUGAGGAGGCAGACACAGGUCAGGCAUGAUUUAAUGGCGGAGUAGACUUGAUGUGCCAAAUGGUCUAAAUCUGCUCCUAUCACCUAUGACCUUUUGACCUCCCAGGCCUCUACCCAUCCUCUUCCGUAGCUACCUACUGGAAGGUGAAUAGGAGCAGUUCAAUACUCUGUGCCGUAAUAUCUUAGUAUCACUGUCUUUACAACAUCAGCAACUAACUUUGAACGGGUUUUUCCCAUGUUAAACUUUUUCCUUCCACGAAAAAGAUUCCUGUCCAGCUAACCCCUUCAAAGAGGGGAAUUGAUAGGAUAUGAAAGCAAAUCUUUAGAGAUCAUAGUUGAAAAAAACAAGCAUAUGGUUAUGGAAGGAAAGAAAUCUCCUGGUCAUUUUACUCCGAGAUUUGAUUCUUUGAAUUUAGUUGCAGCUUUAACUGUAAGUAAUCCAGUCUGUGGAAUAGUAGCUUAUGCUGGUUGCUAAGAGCCAACUGAUGUCAGCUCCGUAAUCUCUAAGUCUUCACGAAAUAUAAACUACGUUCCAACAAUUUAUUUUUUGUAAAUGCAACUAAAUUGUAGUAAUUCAUAACAAAGCAAUUUUUUUUACACUAGAGAAUUCAAAGUCCCUCCAGGCAGUGUAGACUGGUCACAAACGGUUAAUAAUAUAUACUCUUCACAACAGUGUGCGGGAUUAAUAGGAUCCUACAGGGCAGUUGUGAAAUCUUAUCUUUCUUUUUGGUUUAUUUGUCUUCAGUGGAGGCAGGCCCAUCGAUCUAAUAAUGCUUUCAAAUGGCAGUGAAUUCAUUGCAGACAACAUGACCUUGGUCACUGAGAGCUGGACGGCUUUUUUUUUUGAAUGGCAUGUUCCUUACGCUGUCCUCUUUAUCUUCACGCUCCAGUGAUAGAGACAUACAUCUGGCUGCGGAGACCCAAGAGGGGAAGCCGGCUAUGGGCUGGAAGUAUUUUUGUCUGUAACUAGAAAUGGUCACUUUAUUAAACAGGUCAGUCAGUAAGGUCAAGGGCUCUGUCAGUGCUGUGUCUAGCCAUAUGAUAUGUCUGGAGUAAGCAGCACAUUCAUUCUGACCCAUCCACACAUACUUCCCCACUAUCAGACAGGCAGAGCUAUAACAUGGCCAAGUGAUGUACUGACCUGUGUUAAGGACAUGUUGAUACUAGUCUGUUAUGACAGCUUUUUAUCUCCAAAGAAAAUAGCUUGCUUUGCGCUGUGUAUCAUUUCAUCAGCGUUGGUCUAUCUGGGGUUAUGUGCACAUUAUUUGGGAAUGCUGUGCACAUGUGCGGGGCCAGCAAUGCCUGUUCAUGCGUUGCUCUUUGUACAUUAAGCAGGACAUUCUGGUUCCUUGCCAUCCUUGCAUGCCUGGAAUUCCAUUGUACGUUUCGCAGUCAUCGCCAUGCCUGCCGUGCUAUAUAAAUACGACCAUCGAGAUCACAGGUCCAAAGAAACGCAACGUUGUGGUGGGUUGCACAUCCUAAUUAACAGUGUAGAAUAGCUCGCAAACCAACAAAUGUUUUUGCAUUAUAGAAAAACAGAUCCAAGUAUCACUGUCACUUUGCCACUUCAUUAUGCUAUAUGACAUUAUGGGAAACUUUUUUUCCUGAUGUUAAGUAUAUUGAUGACUGCAAUAAUUUGAAAGCUGAAAAGUCACGGUGAAACAAUACACCAUAUUUGCGUGCCAAUUUCAGCCACUGGAGUGACACAAAAUGCUGGAAUAACUCAGCAGCAUCUCUGGAGGGAAGGAAUAGGUGACACUUCGGGUCGAGACCCUUCUUCAGAUUGAACAUAUGGGGAGCAUACCUCCUAAUGACUCACAUGCUAUGAACAUCCCAGUAUCUUUUGACACUGGGACACGUGAAAUAUAAGAAGCAAUGAGCAAUUUACUUUCAUGAUAUUCAGUGAAGAAAGUACGCAUGUGAGCAGUUAGGAAACAGAAAUGUUUGCUCUCAGGGAACUAUCUCGGGUAGAAAUGCUGGAUCCCCAGAGAUUGCCAUUGGCCAUCAUUCUGCCUGUACAGUUUGAAGAAAGGUUCAUGCUACUCCUCCCCAUCAUGAACUUCUUUUGGUUCAGUCAAACAUUUGAGCAGAUUAUCUGCAAAGCUACCUCUGUUGUCAUGUGCAAUGUUGACCUGCACCACAGAGGAGUUAAAAUCAAUGCAGCCUUACCCCUUUUGACAUAGCUAUGGAAACAUGAUGGACUCGCUGUGCAGUGUUACAUCCCCGUGCCGAUUUUAUGAUAUUUACUUCAAAACUCUAUCAAAUUAUUAUUACAUUUUUCAAAUUUUAUUGGUGAGGAAGAAAGAGGGGGGGAAAUAGCCAUUCUCCAGGGAAGGGCAGAUUGAAAAUAACUGGCUCGCAAAAUGGCCACAUUGUUUUCUAAAUAGUGUGUGGCUAGGACAUUGCCAUAAAUAAUAAGUGUAUUGUGUCAAGUCUGAAAGAGGAGCAUCAUUUGCAGGUGAUUGUUUCGAUUGAUAUUGCUGUAGGCAAAAGGAGGCCCAGAAUACCUGCUGUGAGACAAAGGCAAAAGUCUUUUAUUUAAAUACAAUAUGUAAUGUACUAUUAUUUCCAGAAGUGAAUUGUUCAUAGAAAACACGUGUUGGCAUUGUUCCCUUAAUAAGUAAAUAUAGAAAUUGCCUGUUAUAUUUACAACUGAUGCAGUGUCAAAUUGUUGGCAGCAAAUCUACUUAUUAAACUCGGGGUGAGUCU